GUUGAAACACCAGUUCCCAUAUGAUCACCAAAGUUAAGCAAUGUCAAGCCUCGUCAGUACCUAAAUGGGUGACUGCUUGGUAAUACCAGGUACUGUAA
Molecule: non-coding RNA, 98 nt
Organism: Acanthosepion pharaonis
Lineage: Eukaryota; Metazoa; Mollusca; Cephalopoda; Sepiida; Sepiidae
Source: the annotation of a GenBank genome assembly